GGGCCCUUAGCUCAAAUGGUAAAGCGUCUAAUUGUCAAUUAGGAAAAAAUCAGUUCGAAUCUGGUGGCGCG
Molecule: non-coding RNA, 71 nt
Organism: Mycena olivaceomarginata
Lineage: Eukaryota; Fungi; Basidiomycota; Agaricomycetes; Agaricales; Mycenaceae
Source: the annotation of a GenBank genome assembly